CCUACGGGAGGCUGCAGUGGGGAAUAUUGCGCAAUGGACGAAAGUCUGACGCAGCGACGCCGCGUGUGGGAUGAAGCCUUUCGGGGCGUAAACCACUGUUGCCCGGGACGAACAUCCCCUUUCGAGGGGACUGACGGUACCGGGUGAGGAAGCACCGGCUAACUCUGUGCCAGCAGCCGCGGUAAUACAGAGGGUGCGAGCGUUGUCCGGAAUCACUGGGCGUAAAGGGCGCGUAGGUGGCUUGGUAAGCGUGUGGUGAAAGUCCGGGGCUCAACCCCGGAUCUGCCGUGCGAACUGCUGAGCUCGAGCAAUGUAGAGGCAGGUGGAAUUUCGGGUGUAGCGGUGGAAUGCGUAGAUAUCCGAAAGAACACCAGUGGCGAAGGCGGCCUGCUGGGCAUUUGCUGACACUGAGGCGCGACAGCGUGGGGAGCAAACAGGCUUAGAUACCCCAGUAGUC
This 457-nucleotide ribosomal RNA is filed under the name uncultured Gemmatimonas sp. RNAcentral's name for it is "bacterial SSU rRNA". It matches the Rfam family "Bacterial small subunit ribosomal RNA", at positions 338 to 795 of the family's 1533-position model. The record is from RNAcentral. Lineage: Bacteria; Pseudomonadati; Gemmatimonadota; Gemmatimonadia; Gemmatimonadales; Gemmatimonadaceae.